RNAcentral lists this ribosomal RNA (434 nucleotides) under uncultured Lachnospiraceae bacterium. Its description in RNAcentral is "partial 16S ribosomal RNA". It matches the Rfam family "Bacterial small subunit ribosomal RNA", at positions 341 to 792 of the family's 1533-position model. The record is from RNAcentral. Lineage: Bacteria; Bacillati; Bacillota; Clostridia; Lachnospirales; Lachnospiraceae.
ACGGAAGGCAGCAGUGGGGAAUAUUGCACAAUGGGCGAAAGCCUGAUGCAGCGACGCCGCGUGAGUGAAGAAGCAUCUCGGUAUGUAAAGCUCUAUCAGCAGGGAAGAAAAUGACGGUACCUGACUAAGAAGCCCCGGCUAACUACGUGCCAGCAGCCGCGGUAAUACGUAGGGGGCAAGCGUUAUCCGGAUUUACUGGGUGUAAAGGGAGCGUAGACGGUUUGGCAAGUCUGAAGUGAAAUGCGGGGGCUCAACUCCUGAACUGCUUUGGAAACUGUCGAACUAGAGUGCAGGAGAGGUAAGUGGAAUUCCUAGUGUAGCGGUGAAAUGCGUAGAUAUUAGGAGGAACACCAGUGGCGAAGGCGGCUUACUGGACUGUAACUGACGUUGAGGCUCGAAAGCGUGGGGAGCAAACAGGAUUAGAUACCCUGGUA